CGCUAGCUACAGGCUUAACACAUGCAAGUCGAGGGGCAGCAUGGUCUUAGCUUGCUAAGGCCGAUGGCGACCGGCGCACGGGUGAGUAACACGUAUCCAACCUGCCGUCUACUCUUGGACAGCCUUCUGAAAGGAAGAUUAAUACAAGAUGGCAUCAUGAGUCCGCAUGUUCACAUGAUUAAAGGUAUUCCGGUAGACGAUGGGGAUGCGUUCCAUUAGAUAGUAGGCGGGGUAACGGCCCACCUAGUCUUCGAUGGAUAGGGGUUCUGAGAGGAAGGUCCCCCACAUUGGAACUGAGACACGGUCCAAACUCCUACGGGAGGCAGCAGUGAGGAAUAUUGGUCAAUGGGCGAGAGCCUGAACCAGCCAAGUAGCGUGAAGGAUGACUGCCCUAUGGGUUGUAAACUUCUUUUAUAAAGGAAUAAAGUCGGGUAUGUAUACCCGUUUGCAUGUACUUUAUGAAUAAGGAUCGGCUAACUCCGUGCCAGCAGCCGCGGUAAUACGGAGGAUCCGAGCGUUAUCCGGAUUUAUUGGGUUUAAAGGGAGCGUAGAUGGAUGUUUAAGUCAGUUGUGAAAGUUUGCGGCUCAACCGUAAAAUUGCAGUUGAUACUGGAUAUCUUGAGUGCAGUUGAGGCAGGCGGAAUUCGUGGUGUAGCGGUGAAAUGCUUAGAUAUCACGAAGAACUCCGAUUGCGAAGGCAGCCUGCU
Molecule: ribosomal RNA, 707 nt
Filed under: uncultured Bacteroidales bacterium
Lineage: Bacteria; Pseudomonadati; Bacteroidota; Bacteroidia; Bacteroidales
Description: bacterial SSU rRNA
Rfam family: Bacterial small subunit ribosomal RNA
Source: RNAcentral